Long non-coding RNA from Helianthus annuus (common sunflower), 554 nucleotides. RefSeq lists it as uncharacterized. NCBI's taxonomy places the organism in Eukaryota, Viridiplantae, Streptophyta, Magnoliopsida, Asterales, Asteraceae. The transcript is spliced from 3 exons. The record is from RefSeq and is a predicted model, not a curated record.
UGUGUUCUGGAUCGUUCCAGAGCUCCCCAAGGGAGCCAAACCCUAACUCAACAAUAUUCAUCAAAUUGAAGGGUGAAUUGAAGCUCAAAUUAUCAACCGAACGUGAAUUAGUGAUCACCAACACAAGGGGAUCAUAAGGCAUAAGGAUCAUGUGGAAAUGGACUCAAGCAAGAAAGGCAAAAGGGUGAAAAGGAGGCAAGGGAACGGACGCAAAAAGAUUUAUGCAGGUACAUUAUUGAAGGCUCACCAGGGAAUGGAUAUGCGAAUGAUAUGCUUAAAAUCAGAGAGAAAACUGAAGGGAAAGUGUACAUGUAUUGGAUCUUGUUUAUGUAUUGUGUACUAAUGUGAUGAAUGUAUGUGGUGAGUGCAGGUUGUACGAAUCACGGGCGGUUAUCACGAGGAAUAGAGAUCGAAGACCGAGUCACAAGAUAGAUUGUACGGGAAUAAUUGAGUAUGUACUAUUAGUAAACAGGACUUAUGCUUUAUUUUUGUAAAAGAUACAUAUUAAGACAAACUUUCAAGUAAGUCCAGACGUUUGUAAUGAAAGAAAUUUU